RNAcentral lists this ribosomal RNA (398 nucleotides) under uncultured bacterium. Its description in RNAcentral is "bacterial SSU rRNA". It matches the Rfam family "Bacterial small subunit ribosomal RNA", at positions 35 to 426 of the family's 1533-position model. The record is from RNAcentral.
GCUGGCGGCGUGCCUAACACAUGCAAGUCGAACGAGAACGUGGGGGCAACUCCACUAGUAAAGUGGCAGACGGGUGAGUAACACGUGAACAAUCUACCCUCGAGUGGGGAAUAACACCGCGAAAGCGGUGCUAAUACCGCAUAACAUCUCCGGGUCGCAUGGUCUGGAGAUCAAAAGCGAAAGUUGCUUGAGGAGGAGUUCGCGCCUGAUUAGCUAGUUGGUGAGGUAACGGCUCACCAAGGCAACGAUCAGUAGCCGGCCUGAGAGGGCGAACGGCCACACUGGAACUGAGACACGGUCCAGACUCCUACGGGAGGCAGCAGUGGGGAAUUUUGCGCAAUGGGCGAAAGGCCUGACGCAGCAACGGCCCGCGUGGAGGAUGAAGGCCCUCGGGUCGU